Molecule: ribosomal RNA, 253 nt
Filed under: uncultured bacterium
Lineage: Bacteria
Description: partial 16S ribosomal RNA
Rfam family: Bacterial small subunit ribosomal RNA
Source: RNAcentral
UACGAAGGGGGCUAGCGUUGCUCGGAAUCACUGGGCGUAAAGCGCACGUAGGCGGGUCUUUAAGUCAGGGGUGAAAUCCUGGAGCUCAACUCCAGAACUGCCUUUGAUACUGGAGACCUUGAGUUCGGGAGAGGUGAGUGGAACUGCGAGUGUAGAGGUGAAAUUCGUAGAUAUUCGCAAGAACACCAGUGGCGAAGGCGGCUCACUGGCCCGAUACUGACGCUGAGGUGCGAAAGCGUGGGGAGCAAACAGG